GUGCCGAGUAUAGUCCGGUCAAGUAUGGCGGCCUCUCGAGCCGCAGACCCGGGUUCAAAUCCCGGCCGGAGCACCA
This 76-nucleotide transfer RNA is filed under the name Candidatus Terraquivivens tikiterensis. Its description in RNAcentral is "Aigarchaeota archaeon NZ13_MG1 tRNA-Glu". The stretch from base 7 to 65 matches the Rfam family "tRNA", at positions 9 to 63 of the family's 71-position model. Rfam says of the family: Transfer RNA (tRNA) molecules are approximately 80 nucleotides in length. Their secondary structure includes four short double-helical elements and three loops (D, anti-codon, and T loops). The record is from RNAcentral. Lineage: Archaea; Thermoproteati; Nitrososphaerota; Candidatus Wolframiiraptoraceae.